UAGUCCACGCCGUAAACGAUGUCUGCUAGCCGUCGGGGCACUUGGUGCUUCGGUGGCGCCGCUAACGCAUUAAGCAGACCGCCUGGGGAGUACGGUCGCAAGAUUAAAACUUAAAGGAAUUGACGGGGGCCCGCACAAGCAGUGGAGCAUGUGGUUUAAUUCGAAGCAACGCGCAGAACCUUACCAGCCCUUGACAUCCCGUGCUACAUCCAGAGAUGGAUGGUUCCCUUCGGGGACACGGUGACAGGUGCUGCAUGGCUGUCGUCAGCUCGUGUCGUGAGAUGUUGGGUUAAGUCCCGCAACGAGCGCAACCCUUAUUUUAGUUGCCUUUUGGAACUCUAAAAAGACUGCCGGUUAUAAACCGGAGGAAGGUGGGGAUGGCGUCAAGUCCUCAUGGCCCUUAUGUUCAGGGCUACACACGUAAUACAAUGGUGCAACCAAAGGGAAGCGAACUCGCAAGGGGGAGCAAAUCUCAAAAAUUGCAUCUCAGUCCGGAUUGAAGUCUGCAA
This 509-nucleotide ribosomal RNA is filed under the name uncultured bacterium. RNAcentral describes it as "bacterial SSU rRNA". It matches the Rfam family "Bacterial small subunit ribosomal RNA", at positions 791 to 1310 of the family's 1533-position model. The record is from RNAcentral.